This 434-nucleotide ribosomal RNA is filed under the name uncultured bacterium. Its description in RNAcentral is "partial 16S ribosomal RNA". It matches the Rfam family "Bacterial small subunit ribosomal RNA", at positions 29 to 507 of the family's 1533-position model. The record is from RNAcentral.
AGCGAACGCUGGCGGCAGGCCUAACACAUGCAAGUCGAACGAACCUUUCGGGGUUAGUGGCGGACGGGUGAGUAACACGUGGGAACGUGCCUUUAGGUUCGGAAUAACUCAGGGAAACUUGUGCUAAUACCGAAUGUGCCCUUCGGGGGAAAGAUUAAUCGCCUUUAGAGCGGCCCGCGUCUGAUUAGCUAGUUGGUUGAGGUAAUGGCUCACCAAGGCGACGAUCAGUAGCUGGUCUGAGAGGAUGAUCAGCCACAUUGGGACUGAGACACGGCCCAAACUCCUACGGGAAGCAGUAGUGGGGAAUCUUGCGCAAUGGGCGAAAGCCUGACGCAGCCAUGCCGCGUGAAUGAUGAAGGUCUUAGGAUUGUAAAAUUCUUUCACCGGGGACGAUAAUGACGGUACCCGGAGAAGAAGCCCCGGCUAACUUCGUG